This 465-nucleotide ribosomal RNA is filed under the name uncultured bacterium. RNAcentral's name for it is "partial 16S ribosomal RNA". It matches the Rfam family "Bacterial small subunit ribosomal RNA", at positions 28 to 507 of the family's 1533-position model. The record is from RNAcentral.
GACGGACGCUGGCGGCGUGCUUAACACAUGCAAGUCGAACGGAAAGGCCCCAGCUUGCUGGGGUACUCGAGUGGCGAACGGGUGAGUAACACGUGGGUGAUCUGCCCUGCACUCUGGGAUAAGCCUGGGAAACUGGGUCUAAUACCGGAUAGGACCGUGCUUUAGUGUGUGCGGUGGAAAGUUUUUCGGUGCAGGAUGAGCCCGCGGCCUAUCAGCUUGUUGGUGGGGUAAUGGCCUACCAAGGCGGCGACGGGUAGCCGGCCUGAGAGGGUGUACGGCCACAUUGGGACUGAGACACGGCCCAGACUCCUACGGGAGGCAGCAGUGGGGAAUAUUGCACAAUGGGCGCAAGCCUGAUGCAGCGACGCCGCGUGGGGGAUGACGGCCUUCGGGUUGUAAACCCCCUUCGGCAGGGACGAAGCUUUUGUGACGGUACCUGCAUAAGAAGCACCGGCUAACUACGUG